Molecule: long non-coding RNA, 650 nt
Organism: Zophobas morio
Lineage: Eukaryota; Metazoa; Arthropoda; Insecta; Coleoptera; Tenebrionidae
Exons: 2
Source: RefSeq, a predicted model, not a curated record
GAGCGAUUUACUAUUAAUCUAUGGGCUGGAAUCAUUGGUACUACUGUGGUGGGGCCGUUUGUGUUACCUGAUCACCUUAAUGGGGAGGCAUAUGCUAAUUUUCUACGACUAGAGCUUCCGGCAUUGUUGGAAGACGUUCCUUUGAAUGUACGGCGGAAUAUGUGGUUUCAGCACAACGGCGCUCCUCCACAUAAUUCGAUACUUGCACGGCGAACAUUGAAAAGAGUCUAUAUAUCUAUGUUAAAUAAUAUACAACACAACAUAAUGCGACGAGUUAGAACUGGCAUUGAAGUUAAUGGUGAUCAUUUUGAGCACAUUGUUUAAUAACGUUACAGUACAACGAUUCCGGCCCACGGAUUAAUAGUAUUGCUCUUGAUAUGCUCUCACGUUAGCUAAAUGUGGAUUUUCGUUUGCCCAGAAGUGCCAAUUGUGCGCAUUAAAUAUUCACAUGCUGGUCAAGGAGCCGAUGAUUGGGGAAAAGACCUGUAUAUUCGCACACAGCAGUGGCUGCAUAGCGUUUACAUUCUCCAUAAAUUAACAUCAUUUCCAAAUAUUCUUUAUACUAGUAUGAAUAAGACAUCAGUGACUUAGUGGUAUUGGUACUGAUUUGUUUAUAGUUUGUAUUGUUCUUAAAAAAAAAUGCAACUACA